GCAUUGUUAUAAUUAGCAUUACAGAACCAGUUAAUAAAAGCACUUGCUAGUAACAGAGACUAGAGACUCACCUAGAAAGCCUGUUUAAAUAUUGCCUGUGAUGGGAUCCCAUACCUUAUACAUUUCAAUAAAGGCCCAGUUUGGCGUUGCGAGCUGGAGGAUUUUACAGAAAACCUGAGAUCUUAGUGCACCUAAACCAUCCCACAAUGCCAAACUGGCUUAGUAGUUGAUUCUCAUCAAUUCAUUGGAUAUUAGGGAGCCACUCAUCCUUUACAUUCAAAUGCUCUUCAAGAUU
This 295-nucleotide unclassified non-coding RNA is filed under the name Hevea brasiliensis (rubber tree). The record is from RNAcentral. Lineage: Eukaryota; Viridiplantae; Streptophyta; Magnoliopsida; Malpighiales; Euphorbiaceae.